Molecule: ribosomal RNA, 305 nt
Filed under: uncultured bacterium
Lineage: Bacteria
Description: bacterial SSU rRNA
Rfam family: Bacterial small subunit ribosomal RNA
Source: RNAcentral
UACCCUACGGGGGGCAGCAGUGAGGAAUAUUGGUCAAUGGGAGGAAUCCUGAACCAGCCAUGCCGCGUGCAGGACGACGGCUCUACGAGUUGUAAACUGCUUUUGUACCGGGGUAAAAUGCCUUACGAGUAGGGUUUUGAAAGUACGGUACGAAUAAGGAUCGGCUAACUCCGUGCCAGCAGCCGCGGUAAUACGGAGGAUGCGAGCGUUAUCCGGAUUUAUUGGGUUUAAAGGGUGCGUAGGCGGGCUGUUAAGUCAGCGGUAAAAGCCCGGGGCUCAACCCCGGCGAGCCGUUGAAACUGGCU